This 518-nucleotide ribosomal RNA is filed under the name uncultured bacterium. RNAcentral describes it as "partial 16S ribosomal RNA". It matches the Rfam family "Bacterial small subunit ribosomal RNA", at positions 899 to 1397 of the family's 1533-position model. The record is from RNAcentral.
ACUCAAAUGAAUUGACGGGGGCCCGCACAAGCGGUGGAACAUGUGGUUCAAUUCGAUGCUACACGAAAAACCUCACCAGGGCUUGACAUGCAAGAAGUAGUGAACUGAAAGGGGAUCGACCUGUUAAGUCAGGAGCUUGCACAGGUGCUGCAUGGCUGUCGUCAGCUCGUGUCGUGAGAUGUUGGGUUAAGUCCCGCAACGAGCGCAACCAUUAUCCUUUGUUGCCACUUCAUUUCGAGCUUGCUCGAGAUGGAAGCACUCUAAGGAGACUGCCCGGGAUAACCGGGAGGAAGGUGGAGAUGACGUCAAGUCAGUACGGCCUUUAUGCCCUGGGCUACACACGUGUUACAAUGGUCGUGACAAUGGGUUGCCAACCCGCGAGGGGGAGCUAAUCUCAAAAAUACGGCCUCAGUUCAGAUUGAAGUCUGCAAUUCGACUUCAUGAAGCCGGAAUCGCUAGUAAUGGCAGAUCAGCACGCUGCCGUGAAUACGUUCCCGGGCCUUGUACACACCGCCCGU